RNAcentral lists this ribosomal RNA (337 nucleotides) under uncultured bacterium. RNAcentral describes it as "bacterial SSU rRNA". It matches the Rfam family "Bacterial small subunit ribosomal RNA", at positions 28 to 355 of the family's 1533-position model. The record is from RNAcentral.
GACGAACGCUGACAGCGUGCCUAACACAUGCAAGUCGAGCGAUUCAGAAGUCGGAUAUCAAUCCGACCUCUGGAUAGCGGCGGACGGGUGAGUAACACGUGGGUAAUCUGCCCUACGGACCGGGAUAACACACCGAAAGGGGUGCUAAUACCGGAUAAAGUCAUCAUAUGGCAUCAUAAGAUGAAGAAAGGAGAAAUCCGCCAAAGGAGGAGCCCGCGUCCCAUUAGUUAGUUGGCGGGGUAAAACCCACCAAGGCGACGAUCCAUAACUGGUCUGAGAGGAUGAUCAGCCACACUGGGACUGAGACACGGCCCAGACUCCUACGGGAGGCAGCAUG